CUGACUGAGGUGGAAUUGGUUGCCACACCUGUUUGUGAAGCAGGAGAAUCGGGUUCGAGUCCCGGCAGACAGC
This 73-nucleotide transfer RNA is filed under the name Microscilla marina ATCC 23134. It matches the Rfam family "tRNA". Rfam says of the family: Transfer RNA (tRNA) molecules are approximately 80 nucleotides in length. Their secondary structure includes four short double-helical elements and three loops (D, anti-codon, and T loops). Lineage: Bacteria; Pseudomonadati; Bacteroidota; Cytophagia; Cytophagales; Microscillaceae. The record is from Rfam by way of RNAcentral.